ACCAAAACUAGCCUGACCACACUCAUAAUCCAAAUAUAAUAAAUAUAAUAAAACAAAACAUUUACAUUCAAAAGUAUAGGAGAUAGAAAUUCACUCAAGCGCUAUAGAAACAGUACCGCAAGGGAAAGAUGAAAGAAUUAAUUAAAAGUAUUAAAUAGCAUAGAUAAAACCUACUACCUUUUGCAUAAUGAGUUAACUAGAAAACCUUGACAAAAAGAACUUAAGUCAAAAAUCCCGAAACCAAACGAGCUACUUUUGAACAGCUAGUAAUUGAGCAAACUCGUCUAUGUGGCAAAAUAGUGAGAAGAUUUAAAAGUAGUGGUGAAAAGCCUAUCGAGUCUGGAGAUAGCUGGUUAUCCAAACAAGAAUUUAAGUUCAACUUUAAAUCUUUCCUAUAAAAUCCUAAAAUUUUAAUGAAGAUUUAAAUGUUAACUUAAGGAGGUACAGCUCCUUAAAUAAGGAUACUCCCUUAAAUAGAGGGUAAAUAGUAUAAUUACCAUAGUAGGCCUAAAAGCAGCCAUCAAUUAAGAAAGCGUUCAAGCUCAACAAAAAAUCUUAAUUAUAUCCCAAAAACCACAGUCACCCCCUACAUAAAAAUUGGAUUAAUCUAUAUAAAUAGAAGAAAUAAUGUUAAUAUUAGUAACAAGAAAUAGUUCUCCUUGCACAAGCCUAGGUUAUAAACAUAACCAAUUAACAAUUAUAUAAAAAAUUCACACAUUAAUUUAUUAUUAUAAAAAUUGUUAACCCAACCCAGGAGUGCAAUAAGGAAAGGCUAAAACAAGUAAAAGGAACUCGGCAAACAUAAAUCCCGCCUGUUUACCAAAAACAUCACCUCUAGCAUUUCAAGUAUUAGAGGCACUGCCUGCCCAGUGACAAUUAAAGUUAAACGGCCGCGGUAUCCUGACCGUGCAAAGGUAGCAUAAUCAUUUGUUCCUUAAAUAGGGACUUGUAUGAAUGGCUUGACGAGGAUUUAACUGUCUCUUACUUGUAGUCAGUGAAAUUGACAUUCCCGUGAAGAGGCGGGAAUAAGAUAAUAAGACGAGAAGACCCUAUGGAGCUUUAAUUUAUUAACUCAUUUUAACAAAUCAUAAUCAACUAGAAACAAAAAGCAAAUUAUGAGUUAACAAUUUUGGUUGGGGUGACCUCGGAGUAAAAAAUAACCUCCGAAUGAUAUUAACUUAGAUUUACAAAUCAAAGUUUAAAUCAUAAAUUGACCCAGAAAUAUCUGAUCAACGAACCAAGUUACCCUAGGGAUAACAGCGCAAUCCUAUUAAAGAGUCCAUAUCGACAAUAGGGUUUACGACCUCGAUGUUGGAUCAGGACCCCCAAAUGGUGCAACAGCUAUUAAAGGUUCGUUUGUUCAACGAUUAAAGUCCUACGUGAUCUGAGUUCAGACCGGAGUAAUCCAGGUCGGUUUCUAUCUAUUAAAAAUUUCUCCCAGUACGAAAGGACAAGAGAAAUUAGGCCAAUAAAUCAAUCACGCCUUAAUAGCAAAAGAAUGAUAUAAUAUUAAUUCUUUAGCUAUUAAUAAUCACAAACCCGAGACAAGGGUUU
Molecule: ribosomal RNA, 1554 nt
Filed under: Pattonomys semivillosus (Speckled spiny tree-rat)
Lineage: Eukaryota; Metazoa; Chordata; Mammalia; Rodentia; Echimyidae
Description: 16S ribosomal RNA
Rfam family: Bacterial large subunit ribosomal RNA
Source: RNAcentral